UAUUUUUGGUUGUUGACUUCUCAAAUAAUCCCUCAAUUGGAACACAUUCCACUUACUACUGAUGACAUUGCAACGCGAUUGACUUGUUUUCCAUAUUAAAGUUCUUCAAAUAACUUAAUACCUCAAUUAUUCAACAUUUGUUCCGUGUAAGCUACUACUAUAGAAUAGAAACAGAAUAGAAGAAUGUAUUUUGUAUUUAGACUUUCUAACUUGUGAAAUACAUUGAGGAAUCUUGAAUUUAUAGAACAAUGAUUAAGUAACAAACUAACAGCUCAUAAACUAACUCAUAAAACUGACUAACUAGGCUUAGCUAAGGUAUACUUGUAGUCUUAACAUUC
This 338-nucleotide long non-coding RNA is filed under the name Gossypium barbadense (sea-island cotton). Its description in RNAcentral is "long non-coding RNA (GBAR_LNC010596)". Lineage: Eukaryota; Viridiplantae; Streptophyta; Magnoliopsida; Malvales; Malvaceae. The record is from RNAcentral.